GCYUCAAGUUAUGUGUGACAA
This 21-nucleotide ribosomal RNA is filed under the name Anopheles sinensis. Its description in RNAcentral is "partial 28S ribosomal RNA". The record is from RNAcentral. Lineage: Eukaryota; Metazoa; Arthropoda; Insecta; Diptera; Culicidae.